This 253-nucleotide ribosomal RNA is filed under the name uncultured bacterium. RNAcentral's name for it is "partial 16S ribosomal RNA". It matches the Rfam family "Bacterial small subunit ribosomal RNA", at positions 524 to 776 of the family's 1533-position model. The record is from RNAcentral.
UACGUGGGGACCAAGCGUUGUUCGGAUUUACUGGGCGUAAAGGGCGCGUAGGCGGCGUGGUAAGUCAGCUGUGAAAUCUCCGAGCUUAACUCGGAACGGUCAGCUGAUACUGCUGUGCUAGAGUACAGAAAGGGCAAUCGGAAUUCUUGGUGUAGCGGUGAAAUGCGUAGAUAUCAAGAGGAACACCUGAGGCGAAGGCGGGUUGCUAGGCUGAUACUGACGCUGAGGCGCGAAAGCUAGGGUAGCAAACGGG